This is a long non-coding RNA of Solanum stenotomum, 1080 nucleotides long. RefSeq lists it as uncharacterized. The transcript has 3 exons. The record is from RefSeq and is a predicted model, not a curated record. NCBI's taxonomy places the organism in Eukaryota, Viridiplantae, Streptophyta, Magnoliopsida, Solanales, Solanaceae.
UUCUAAUUACCAGCGACUCGCGUUCAUCUGCAACGCCGCUCUCGGCUUAGCUAUUUCUUCGUGACUUACCCUGACGUUGACUGUGGUAAGCUAACUGACCUGUCUGCUGCCGAUGUGAGUACGGAAAAACUUGUUAGAGUUGCUGUCCGGCACGGACUCUACAAGUGCCUUAGCCGUGAUUCAGCAAUCCUCGAUGAAAAGUGUGUAAUUGCACAUUUCAUUGGCACUAGAUUGUCAAACUGAUUACAAUAGUUCCUAUGUGGAAUUGUAAUAGAGGAGACUUUGAAUUUGAUGUAAGUGAAGGAGCUCGUGAUAACAGUGCAACAGGAGGAGGAGAUGGAGUUCUACGGAGGAACAAUAAAAGCACCAAAGCUCCUUGCAGACAUUGUGGAGUCCAUAAUGGGGGCUGUAUAUUUGGAUUGUGGCUUUGAUGUGAAUGAUGUCUGGUGCUUUUAAAGGUGCAGUGUGACGCAUUGGUAAUGAGUUAUUACUGAAGAAAUGUGUGUAUGAACAGGCAAAAGAAAUGCUAGAAUUACCGUAUGGAGUGGUACUUUAGCUUCAUGUGCAUAUGAGAGAUUAGAUAAAUUCUAGAAUCACAAUGAAACACUACUCAAAAUACAUGUAGGAGUGCAACGAUAGUACCAAAUGAGUGCCACAACAAGGGGGCCAAAUCCGGGAAAAGUUCCUUCCUUUGGAAAAGGAAAACAAAGGCAAUAAGUACAUGUAGGUAAAUCUUAAUUCUAUUUAGUAGAAUAACAAAAUAAUACUCAAUCCAAAAUGUCAAAGUAAACCUCUAAAGUGAGAAGAAUAAAAACCUUGAAAAGCUCUAGAAGAGUGUUUUCACGAAGAUUAGGGUUGUAGAGAACAAACACAAGCUGUUCAGUGGAUUGCAUUUUGUGAUCCUUAUUGGGCGGUGCUCCGGCGCCGAAAGACGAUGAUGACAUGCCACCUCCUCCUCCGAAGCUGCCGACAUCGACGGAGAAAGAUUGAGGUAAGUUUGCCAUUCUAAAGCCUCAAUUGAAUGUUUUUAUCUUUUUCAACCUUUCACUUAUCCUACUUUAUUUUCUCUCAUUUUUCUUU